AUGCUUGUGCAAGGCACGACACGGCGCCUACAUGCCCUAAGAGACCCCACGGUGCUCCUGAAACUUGACAUAUCCAAAGCAUUCGACUCCGUCCAAUGGACAUUCCUAAUUGAGGUGCUACACACCAUGGGGUUUGGCACACGGUGGAUUGGAUGGAUUUGUGGAUUGCCUGCAACGUCUUCGACAAGGAUCAUGCUCAACGGGGUGCCCGGCAAACCAAUCUACAACCAAUGUGGCCUAAGGCAAGGGAACCCGCUCUCGCCGAUGUUGUUCAUCUUAAUCAUGGAGCCUCUAUAG
This 297-nucleotide ribosomal RNA is filed under the name Triticum aestivum (bread wheat). Its description in RNAcentral is "partial small subunit ribosomal RNA". Lineage: Eukaryota; Viridiplantae; Streptophyta; Magnoliopsida; Poales; Poaceae. The record is from RNAcentral.